Molecule: small RNA, 1518 nt
Filed under: uncultured Arctic sea ice bacterium
Lineage: Bacteria
Description: bacterial SSU rRNA
Rfam family: Bacterial small subunit ribosomal RNA (bases 1-994)
Source: RNAcentral
AAGGGACCUAGCGUAGUUCGGAAUUACUGGGCUUAAAGAGUUCGUAGGUGGUUGAAAAAGUUGGUGGUGAAAUCCCAGAGCUUAACUCUGGAACUGCCAUCAAAACUUUUCAGCUAGAGUAUGAUAGAGGAAAGCAGAAUUUCUAGUGUAGAGGUGAAAUUCGUAGAUAUUAGAAAGAAUACCAAUUGCGAAGGCAGCUUUCUGGAUCAUUACUGACACUGAGGAACGAAAGCAUGGGUAGCGAAGAGGAUUAGAUACCCUCGUAGUCCAUGCCGUAAACGAUGUGUGUUAGACGUUGGAAAUUUAUUUUCAGUGUCGCAGGGAAACCGAUAAACACACCGCCUGGGGAGUACGACCGCAAGGUUAAAACUCAAAUGAAUUGACGGGGACCCGCACAAGUAGUGGAGCAUGUGGUUUAAUUCGAAGAUACGCGCAGAACCUUACCAACACUUGACAUGUUCGUCGCGACUCUAAGAGAUUAGAGUUUUCGGUUCGGCCGGACGAAACACAGGUGCUGCAUGGCUGUCGUCAGCUCGUGUCGUGAGAUGUUGGGUUAAGUCCCGCAACGAGCGCAACCCUCACUUUUAGUUGCCAUCAUUAAGUUGGGCACUCUGAAAGAACUGCCAGUGAUAAGCUGGAGGAAGGUGGGGAUGACGUCAAGUCCUCAUGGCCCUUACGUGUUGGGCUACACACGUGCUACAAUGGCAUCUACAACAGGAAGCAAAACGGCAACGUUAAGCAAAUCCCGAAAAGAUGCCUCAGUUCGGAUUGCACUCUGCAACUCGAGUGCAUGAAGCUGGAAUUACUAGUAAUCGUGGAUCAGCGUGCCACGGUGAAUGCGUUCCCGGGUCUUGUACACACCGCCCGUCACACCAUGGGAGUUGGUUCUACCUUAAGGCAAGGUUUUAAACCCUUGACCACGGUAUAGUCAGCGACUGGGGUGAAGUCGUAACAAGGUAGCCGUAGGGGAACCUGCGGCUGGAUUACCUCCUUUCUAAGGAUGAGUGAAAGUAAAAUUUCACUCUAAAUAAUAUACAUCGGUAAUGUUGACCGUCCUCAUUUCUCUUCUUAAAGUAAUGUUUCCUUCUUGUAGGGCCGGUAGCUCAGUUGGUUAGAGCACACCCUUGAUAAGGGUGGGGUCGAAAGUUCGAGUCUUUCUCGGCCCACCAAAAACCUAAAUGGGGGAUUAGCUCAUCUGGGAGAGCGCCUGAUUUGCAUUCAGGAGGUAGCAGGUUCGAUCCCUGUAUCCUCCACCAGGAAACAUUUAGUUAUUAAAACUGUAAAUAAAAAUAAUUUAUAUCAAUAUCUAUAUCCGAACAUUAAAAGUUAUUAUUUAAUGUUCAAAAUAAAAAUUUGAUCACAACAUAGAUAAAUUUUCUGUUAAAAGAAUUUUUUUCUGUGCAUAAAUCAAGCGUUUAAGGGCGUGUAUUGGAUGCCUUGGCACUGAAAGCCGAUGAAGGACGUGAUAUACUGCGAUAAGUUUCGGGGAGCUGUAUGUAAGCUUUGAUCCGAAAAUUU